This 492-nucleotide long non-coding RNA is filed under the name Vitis vinifera (wine grape). Its description in RNAcentral is "long non-coding RNA (VVIN_LNC001838)". Lineage: Eukaryota; Viridiplantae; Streptophyta; Magnoliopsida; Vitales; Vitaceae. The record is from RNAcentral.
UUGAUUUUGGUCAGGUUGCUAAAGUGUUGAAAAGAGUUAGGUUGGGGGGUGAGAUUAGUAGCAUAUUAUUCUCGGAACCUAAGGAACCAAUACACAUAGAUUUUUGUGGAAGAUUGAAGUUUAGUUCUUAGAAAGUAGAAAUGAUUUUAAAACUUCAGUUUGCAUAAUGCACUCCCUUGAUUGACAGUGUUUAGCAUAAGUGUUAUGACUCUUGUUGAGAUUUGGGUUUAUAUUUCUUUAAUGAUUCAUGUGAGAAUUAGAUCAUCAUGCCACUUGAGAAUUAUUUUCCUUUAGCAUGAUGUUGUAAAUUGUAGAUUAGUUUGCUAUUUAUUUUUAAUUUUCUCUCCUAUAUUGCUAAGGGACUAGCAAUAUGUCGGUUGGGGGGAGUGAUUACUACUCAAAAAGUGCUAUUUGAUAGCCUUUAAUUAAUCCUUUUUAACACUUUUGAGUAGUAGUUUAGGCCUUUUAACUCAAUUGGCAUGUUAAGGAUCC